AUCCUCCUCUUCCAUCCUUCUUCCAGCUACUGUCCAGGUGCCCUUCAGCUUAAGGAUGUUAGUAAGAAAAAGAUCCAUGGCCGGCUAGUUCUUCGCAUCUCAAAAAAUGACUGUAAGUUCUCUAGAUGGUGUUCUUCCUUUAUAAAUAUUUUGUGUUUCCUUUUUGAUAUGCAAUAAAAGACUUGUUUUUAUCUUCUUAUUAUUUAUGCUUUUUAUUUAUUUUACUUGAGAUCGUAGUCUUUGAAUAGUUUAUGACUACAUAGAGACGGAUUGUGAUCUAA
Molecule: long non-coding RNA, 281 nt
Filed under: Elaeis guineensis (African oil palm)
Lineage: Eukaryota; Viridiplantae; Streptophyta; Magnoliopsida; Arecales; Arecaceae
Description: long non-coding RNA (EGUI_LNC068842)
Source: RNAcentral